CGCGAGGUAUCCCAAUUGGCAGAGGAGUCCGCCUCAAAAGCGGAUGGUUGCGGGUCCGACUCCCGCUCUCGCGA
RNAcentral lists this transfer RNA (74 nucleotides) under Bifidobacterium myosotis. Its description in RNAcentral is "tRNA-Leu". It matches the Rfam family "tRNA". Rfam says of the family: Transfer RNA (tRNA) molecules are approximately 80 nucleotides in length. Their secondary structure includes four short double-helical elements and three loops (D, anti-codon, and T loops). The record is from RNAcentral. Lineage: Bacteria; Bacillati; Actinomycetota; Actinomycetes; Bifidobacteriales; Bifidobacteriaceae.